UGCUUUUUUAAUACCAAUAGCUUGAGGAGUGAUAAAUCACGAUUUUCCCGAGUGAGUUAUAGUGAUGAGCCUCUGAGUAUCAUUCCCUAGAUAAGGCUUAAUUAUUUGCUCAUUCACUACUAACGGUUUUUGUGUGGCUGGGUCUAUAAGUUCAAUAACAUCAUGAGGCAUGAUCUCCUUGAUUAUAAAAGACCUGACCACUUUCCCAAAAAAGUUGCAACC
Molecule: long non-coding RNA, 222 nt
Filed under: Lupinus angustifolius (narrow-leaved blue lupine)
Lineage: Eukaryota; Viridiplantae; Streptophyta; Magnoliopsida; Fabales; Fabaceae
Description: long non-coding RNA (LANG_LNC003071)
Source: RNAcentral